AUGGAGUGUGACAAGGCCAGGUGACAGGCCUGACAUGUGGUGUCCACAUCCAGAAGGGAGACCCUGGAGGGAUGACCCUCCACUGCCACCCCCUCCCAUCAGGCUCUGGACACCCUCGAGCCUCCCACCAUCCACCUUACCAGAUCCCCCCAAGAGUCCGGGAAGCUCACUCCCCCAGGGGACCAGGAGCACAGCCCCUUCCAUUCCUAACGGGCCUGACUCCCAAAGGGGGGUGAGGAAAGAAAAAGCCAUUUCACAUCGACUUAUUCUUCUGGCCCCAGGCAGCAGCACAGGGCGCAGGGUGGGCCUCUGCAGACACGAUGGCUCCGUGGUCAGGGAGGGGCCACCUCCCAUGUGCCUGGGGAGGGGCCCUCCCAAGCCCCUGCGUGGCAGCGCCAAGGGGUUGGAGUCAGCCCCAGCACACACAGGGCCCUGCUCACUGGUGGCCAUUGUCAGCGCCACCUCCACCUUCAGGAGCCUGCCACGUGCCUGCCCUCGGUCACUUAGCCCUCCCUGGCACGCACCACUUUGUCCACACACCCUGUGUGUAAGUGGUGACAGCGGUGACAGCUCAGGCGUCACCUGAUCGGGCCGACUCUAAGCCUUAGUCCUUCCUUGUCCUGUUGCGCCGGACAAGCCUCUGGGAGGCGACGGUGGGACAGCCACAGGGUUCUUGGCUCAGCCCCCAGGAGUGGGGAGCUGGGGCUCUGGACGGAGGUGGGCACUCGAGGCUGGUGUGGCCUCCUGGGUGAGGGCCAGGCUCGGGAGAGGCAGCCAGGCGGCCCCAAGCCACCCCAGGAACAAAGCACCAGCACACACCUCCACUGGUUUGCUAGGGCUGGGAGAAGUUGGAGUGUUUCUGUGGUGGCUGUGGCAGCCCACGGCCCCAAGACCCUGGCUUCCUUCUGCUCCCACCUUUUCAGGCCCCUUCCCCAACAAGCAGCUACUGUAGGACCCAGUGGGGGCUAGGGCACCAGCAGCUGCCAUUACCCAUGCUGGGUCCUGAUGGUUCCUGACCAGCCUCAACCGUGGAUUCCAAGCUGGGGAAGGAAGAAGCAGGCCGGGAGUGGGGAGGGAGACAGUGAAGGACACCCAAACACACACACACACACACACACACACACACACACACACACACACACAGAAGGAACAGUUUCAGCUUUGUUUCCCAGUAAUCUCACUUAAAAAGAACACUUGGGUUUACCAUGUUCACAUAAUCUCGUUGCUCUGAGAAUGAACUUAUUCUUCCUCCCAGCUUGGCCAUGUGUUCCUCCCCAUUGCCCAAGUCCCCUCAUGACAUCAUCUCCCACUGCCAUGUCCUUUCCUUGGGGACCUCCAAGUCCCUGGAGUUUGGGGACUGCAGGGUGGGUGGAGGGGCCCACAAGCUCUGCAGGGAGCCAGAAGGAAACGGUCUGUCCCACCCCAGGGCUGAGCACCUCGCUGGGAGAUGAUACCCACACCUGGAAAUAGCUCAAGGGCCGCGUGAGGCCGCACGACACCCACGCCAGUAUGAGACACCUGGCCAUGCGGCAUUCCUGGCCGACUGCUGGCAGCUGCAGACUUUGUCAGCCAGGUGAUGUCCCCGGGAUCUCUGGGCAGGCAGGGCACACAGGAGGCAGCUCACGCUCACUCAUCAUGGCGAGGCAGGUCGUGUGGAACUUCCUUGGUCUUCCUCAUCUGCGCCCCACCCAGCCUGGCAGAUGGUGAUGCUGUGAGUGCCAGGGAAACACACACACGCACACACACACACAUGCACACAUGUACAGACAGGUGCACAUGCCUGGGAGAGUCUGUGCUGCUCAGCUUCCGAGGGCAGCUCCCCAGGUCUCCCCCCGGGUCUGCGGUGGGAGGCGAGUCUUUUAACAUCAGCUCAAACCAAACAGGAUGAGGAGGGCAAAUCGGCCGUCCCCAGUAAAUCCUAGGGAGUCCCUCCAAGGCAAACAGAAAAUGCACCCCAGCUUUCGCUUUUAGGGGUUUGAGUUGCGAGUUUCCAGUCUGCGGAGUGCGAUGGCCGGGUGUAAGUCUGAAACCCUCUGGGGGAGAGAAGCCGCACAGUGCAGGGGUACACAUCCCAGAUCCACUCCCCAGCUGUGAGGCCCAGGCGCAUUCCGCGUUCCCCGCCCAUCUCCACCUCCGAGGGUUGCGGGAGGCUGAGCAGUUAGAACCGUGGCUGGCAUACGGAGGGCACUCGGUAAACGUGGCUGUGCUGAGCUGUGGGCCUCGAAGGAGUCUCGCGGGGCUGCUGUACCAAUGACCUUGCACUGGGUGGCCUAAAACAACAUGUGUUUCCUCACAGCUCGGGGGACCAGAGCUCAGAAUCUGGGGGUCACAGAGGAGGGUCCAUGCUCAUCCAGGUCAGCUCUAGGGGCUGCAGGCCACCCCUAAUCUAGGAUGGUCUUAUGUUGAGGUCCUUAAUUACAUCCACAAAGACCCUUUCCCCAAAUAAGUCCCCACGCACAGUUCCCAGGGACAGCCUCUGGGGCAGCAUCACCACCCACUCAGUCCUCCAUGCACCCCCUUGCGCUAUCACGUAACUUGGAUCAGGUCCACGCGUGUGGCUUUGCGGCUUUCCUUUGUCACAGCGUGUCACAACUGUUUUCCCGGGUGUCACUGCUGUGGUUUGAGUUUGUGUGUCCCCAGCCUUCAUAUGUUGGAACCUGAGACCCAAGAAGAUCGUUAUAAGACGUGGGGCCUUUGGAAGGUGAUUAAGUCACCAGGGUCCCCAUUGAAGCGCUUGGGAAGCCAUCGAGGCCCCCUCCCCUUUGUCCUCUCACCUUCCGCCGGGAGAGGACACAGCAAGAGGCACCCACUGGGAGGCAGAGAGCAGCCCCCACUCCCACUGAGGCUGCUGGCACCGAGACCCUGGACUUCCAGCCUCCAGAAGCGUGAGAAAUAAAUGUCUAUUGUGUGUCAAUG
RNAcentral lists this long non-coding RNA (2916 nucleotides) under Homo sapiens (human). RNAcentral's name for it is "uncharacterized LOC26102 (ENSG00000262075.4)". Lineage: Eukaryota; Metazoa; Chordata; Mammalia; Primates; Hominidae. The record is from RNAcentral.